UUUAAGUGCAGUUGUGGGUUUCGGUACACAAUAGUUAACUGUCUGUCUUAUUUAAAAAAAAUUUUAUGAUUAGUAUUUUUAUUGUUACCUUAUGUCGGACUUUUUUAUUAACAUUUUUUAUAAAAUUUUUCAAAUAAAACGGACUGUCAAAAAUUGAAUAUAGAAACCGAGAACUGCACUUAAA
MicroRNA precursor from Oryza sativa Indica Group (long-grained rice), 184 nucleotides. It matches the Rfam family "MIR812 microRNA precursor family". NCBI's taxonomy places the organism in Eukaryota, Viridiplantae, Streptophyta, Magnoliopsida, Poales, Poaceae. The record is from Rfam.